GGUUAAGCGACUAAGCGUACACGGUGGAUGCCCUGGCAGUCAGAGGCGAUGAAGGACGUGCUAAUCUGCGAAAAGCGACGGCGAGGUGAUAUGAACCCUUGACCCGUCGAUGUCCGAAUGGGGAAACCCAGUGCAAUCCGUUGCACUAUCGUUAACUGAAUACAUAGGUUAACGAGGCGAACCGGGGGAACUGAAACAUCUAAGUACCCCGAGGAAAAGAAAUCAACCGAGAUUCCCCCAGUAGCGGCGAGCGAACGGGGAGCAGCCCGGAGUCUGAAUCAGCUUGUGUGUUAGUGGAACGGUCUGGAAAGUCCGACGGUACAGGGUGAUAGUCCCGUACACGAAAGCACACAUGCUGUGAACUCGAAGAGUAGGGCGGGACACGUGGUAUCCUGUCUGAAUAUGGGGGGACCAUCCUCCAAGGCUAAAUACUCCUGACUGACCGAUAGUGAACCAGUACCGUGAGGGAAAGGCGAAAAGAACCCCGGCGAGGGGAGUGAAAAAGAACCUGAAACCGUGUACGUACAAGCAGUGGGAGCCUCUUUUAUGGGGUGACUGCGUACCUUUUGUAUAAUGGGUCAGCGACUUAUAUUCUGUAGCAAGGUUAACCGUAUAGGGGAGCCGAAGGGAAACCGAGUCUUAACUGGGCGUUAAGUUGCAGGGUAUAGACCCGAAACCCGGUGAUCUAGCCAUGGGCAGGUUGAAGGUUGGGUAACACUAACUGGAGGACCGAACCGACUAAUGUUGAAAAAUUAGCGGAUGACCUGUGGCUGGGGGUGAAAGGCCAAUCAAACCGGGAGAUAGCUGGUUCUCCCCGAAAGCUAUUUAGGUAGCGCCUCGUGAACUCAUCUUCGGGGGUAGAGCACUGUUUCGGCUAGGGGGCCAUCCCGGCUUACCAACCCGAUGCAAACUACGAAUACCGAAGAAUGUUAUCACGGGAGACACACGGCGGGUGCUAACGUCCGUCGUGAAGAGGGAAACAACCCAGACCGCCAGCUAAGGUCCCAAAGUCAUGGUUAAGUGGGAAACGAUGUGGGAAGGCACAGACAGCCAGGAUGUUGGCUUAGAAGCAGCCAUCAUUUAAAGAAAGCGUAAUAGCUCACUGGUCGAGUCGGCCUGCGCGGAAGAUGUAACGGGGCUAAACCAUGCACCGAAGCUGCGGCAGCGACGCUUAUGCGUUGUUGGGUAGGGGAGCGUUCUGUAAGCCGUUGAAGGUGUGCUGUGAGGCAUGCUGGAGGUAUCAGAAGUGCGAAUGCUGACAUAAGUAACGAUAAAGCGGGUGAAAAGCCCGCUCGCCGGAAGACCAAGGGUUCCUGUCCAACGUUAAUCGGGGCAGGGUGAGUCGACCCCUAAGGCGAGGCCGAAAGGCGUAGUCGAUGGGAAACAGGUUAAUAUUCCUGUACUUGGUGUUACUGCGAAGGGGGGACGGAGAAGGCUAUGUUAGCCGGGCGACGGUUGUCCCGGUUUAAGCAUGUAGGCGGAGGUUCCAGGUAAAUCCGGUACCUUUUUAACGCUGAGGUGUGAUGACGAGGCACUACGGUGCUGAAGUAACAAAUGCCCUGCUUCCAGGAAAAGCCUCUAAGCAUCAGGUAACACGAAAUCGUACCCCAAACCGACACAGGUGGUCAGGUAGAGAAUACCAAGGCGCUUGAGAGAACUCGGGUGAAGGAACUAGGCAAAAUGGUGCCGUAACUUCGGGAGAAGGCACGCUGAUAUGUAGGUGAAGUCCCUGCGGAUGGAGCUGAAAUCAGUCGAAGAUACCAGCUGGCUGCAACUGUUUAUUAAAAACACAGCACUGUGCAAACACGAAAGUGGACGUAUACGGUGUGACGCCUGCCCGGUGCCGGAAGGUUAAUUGAUGGGGUUAGCGGCAACGCGAAGCUCUUGAUCGAAGCCCCGGUAAACGGCGGCCGUAACUAUAACGGUCCUAAGGUAGCGAAAUUCCUUGUCGGGUAAGUUCCGACCUGCACGAAUGGCGUAAUGAUGGCCAGGCUGUCUCCACCCGAGACUCAGUGAAAUUGAACUCGCUGUGAAGAUGCAGUGUACCCGCGGCAAGACGGAAAGACCCCGUGAACCUUUACUAUAGCUUGACACUGAACACUGGUCCUUGAUGUGUAGGAUAGGUGGGAGGCUUUGAAGCGUGGACGCCAGUCUGCGUGGAGCCGUCCUUGAAAUACCACCCUUUAAUGGCUGGUGUUCUAACGUGGACCCGUUACCCGGGUUGCGGACAGUGUCUGGUGGGUAGUUUGACUGGGGCGGUCUCCUCCCAAAGAGUAACGGAGGAGCACGAAGGUUAGCUAAUCCUGGUCGGACAUCAGGAGGUUAGUGCAAUGGCAUAAGCUAGCUUGACUGCGAGAGUGACGGCUCGAGCAGGUGCGAAAGCAGGUCAUAGUGAUCCGGUGGUUCUGAAUGGAAGGGCCAUCGCUCAACGGAUAAAAGGUACUCCGGGGAUAACAGGCUGAUACCGCCCAAGAGUUCAUAUCGACGGCGGUGUUUGGCACCUCGAUGUCGGCUCAUCACAUCCUGGGGCUGAAGUAGGUCCCAAGGGUAUGGCUGUUCGCCAUUUAAAGUGGUACGCGAGCUGGGUUUAGAACGUCGUGAGACAGUUCGGUCCCUAUCUGCCGUGGGCGCUGGAGAAUUGAGGGGGGCUGCUCCUAGUACGAGAGGACCGGAGUGGACGCAUCACUGGUGUUCGGGUUGUCAUGCCAAUGGCACUGCCCGGUAGCUAAAUGCGGAAGAGAUAAGUGCUGAAAGCAUCUAAGCACGAAACUUGCCCCGAGAUGAGUUCUCCCUGAGACUUUAAGUCUCCUGAAGGAACGUUGAAGACGACGACGUUGAUAGGUCGGGUGUGUAAGCGCAGCGAUGCGUUGAGCUAACCGAUACUAAUGAACCGUGAGGCUUAACCUU
This 2907-nucleotide ribosomal RNA is filed under the name Enterobacter cancerogenus. RNAcentral describes it as "23S ribosomal RNA". It matches the Rfam family "Bacterial large subunit ribosomal RNA". Lineage: Bacteria; Pseudomonadati; Pseudomonadota; Gammaproteobacteria; Enterobacterales; Enterobacteriaceae. The record is from RNAcentral.